AUGCCAACCCAUCCUCAUGCUUUGAAGGGUUUAGAUGAAGAGCAAAGCUGGGAACUUUUUAGUAGCAGAGCUUUACCUUCAUAUAGAAUAUCAAUCAUACGUGAUCUGGAUAAAUAUAAAGAAAUGGGAAGAAAGCUUACAAGGAAAUGUGAUGGAUUACCACUUGCACUUGCAGUGUUAGGUGGUUAUCUAUCAAAGAACCUCAACAUACAAGCAUGGUCCGAUGUGCUACUGUGUUGGCCAUCAACCAAGGACACACAGAUGAUGCGAGGCAUAAUUGCUCGCAGUUACAAGGACCUACCAAAUCACUAUUUAAGAUCCUGUGUGCUCUAUCUUGCGGCUUUUCCCGAGGAUUACAUAAUAUAUGUGCCAACUCUUAUUAAUACGUGGAUAGCAGAAGGCUUCAUUCCACAUACUCCUAAGCAUACCUUAGAAAAAACAGCUCGUAUGUAUGUAACUGAGUUGGCUUAA
This 471-nucleotide ribosomal RNA is filed under the name Triticum aestivum (bread wheat). Its description in RNAcentral is "partial small subunit ribosomal RNA". The record is from RNAcentral. Lineage: Eukaryota; Viridiplantae; Streptophyta; Magnoliopsida; Poales; Poaceae.